This 72-nucleotide transfer RNA is filed under the name Perkinsus olseni. It matches the Rfam family "tRNA". Rfam says of the family: Transfer RNA (tRNA) molecules are approximately 80 nucleotides in length. Their secondary structure includes four short double-helical elements and three loops (D, anti-codon, and T loops). Further hydrogen bonds mediate the characteristic L-shaped molecular structure. tRNAs have two regions of fundamental functional importance: the anti-codon, which is responsible for specific mRNA codon recognition, and the 3' end, to which the tRNAs corresponding amino acid is attached (by aminoacyl-tRNA synthetases). tRNAs cope with the degeneracy of the genetic code in two manners: having more than one tRNA (with a specific anti-codon) for a particular amino acid; and 'wobble' base-pairing, i.e. permitting non-standard base-pairing at the 3rd anti-codon position. The record is from Rfam by way of RNAcentral. Lineage: Eukaryota; Perkinsozoa; Perkinsida; Perkinsidae.
GGGUGUGUAGCUCAGUGGUAGAGCGGCUGACCGCAAAUCAGCAGGUGUCCGCUUCAAAUCCGGGCGCACCCU